This 249-nucleotide unclassified non-coding RNA is filed under the name Hevea brasiliensis (rubber tree). The record is from RNAcentral. Lineage: Eukaryota; Viridiplantae; Streptophyta; Magnoliopsida; Malpighiales; Euphorbiaceae.
AUUGGACCCUCGUCUUUAUAUCUGCUAAUUGUCACAAAGUUCUGGUUCUGUUGGGCGCACUUACUAGAUUGUUAUAUGGGAAGUGACCAAUAGAUCUUUAACAAUUUCUUGCUGCUAUAUUUAAGACAGUAUUCUUAGUUCAACAAUUCACUCAAAUCAAAUAUUAAUUUAAUGUGAUUGGUGAGGUGAUAGGUUUCAUUUUUUUUCCCUUCUAGAAACGGUGAUUUUGUUGGGUUUUGACUACAGGGU